Molecule: ribosomal RNA, 305 nt
Filed under: uncultured bacterium
Lineage: Bacteria
Description: bacterial SSU rRNA
Rfam family: Bacterial small subunit ribosomal RNA
Source: RNAcentral
GUUACCUACGGGGGGCAGCAGUGAGGAUUAUUGGUUUAUGGGCGGGCGCCUGAACCAGCCAAGUCGCGUGAGGGAAGAAGGCCCUGCGGGUCGCAGACCUCUUUGGACGGGGAGCAAGGCCGCCGACGUGUCGGCGGAAGGAGAGUACGCGUAGAACAAGCAUCGGCUAACUCCGUGCCAGCAGCCGCGGUAAUACGGAGGAUGCGAGCGUUAUCCGGAUUUAUUGGGUUUAAAGGGUGCGCAGGCGGCACGGCAAGCCGGCGGUCAAAUCGCGGGGCUCAACCCCGCCCAGCCGUCGGAACUGC